Molecule: ribosomal RNA, 448 nt
Filed under: uncultured bacterium
Lineage: Bacteria
Description: bacterial SSU rRNA
Rfam family: Bacterial small subunit ribosomal RNA
Source: RNAcentral
GAGUUUGAUCCUGGCUCAGAACGAACGCUGAUGGCGUGCCUCAUACAUGCAAGUCGAGCGCCCCGCAAGGGGAGCGGCGAACGGGUGAGUAACGCGUGAACAAUCUGCCUCAAAGUGGGGGAUAACCAUUCCAACGGAUGGCUUAUACCGCAUAGGGUUUGAGGGUCGCAUGACCCUUUUACGAAAGCAUUUAUGCGCUUUGAGAUGAGUUCGCGUCCCAUUAGCUAGUUGGCGGGGUAACGGCCCACCAAGGCGACGAUGGGUAGCCGGCCUGAGAGGGUGUCCGGCCACAUUGGGACUGACAUACGGCCCGGACUCCUACGGGAGGCCCCAGUACGGAAGUUUGCGCAAUGUGGGAAACCCUGACGCAGCGGCGAAAUGUGUGGGAUGAAGCAUUUUGGCGUGAAACCACUGUCGCGGGAAUAAACCCCGCGUUUACGCAUGAAGU